This 465-nucleotide ribosomal RNA is filed under the name uncultured bacterium. RNAcentral describes it as "partial 16S ribosomal RNA". It matches the Rfam family "Bacterial small subunit ribosomal RNA", at positions 28 to 506 of the family's 1533-position model. The record is from RNAcentral.
GAUGAACGCUGGCGGCGUGCUUAACACAUGCAAGUCGAACGGAAAGGCUCCUGCUUGCAGGGGUACUCGAGUGGCGAACGGGUGAGUAACACGUGGGUGAUCUGCCCUGCACUUCGGGAUAAGCCUGGGAAACUGGGUCUAAUACCGGAUAGGACGAUGGUUUGGAUGCCAUUGUGGAAAGUUUUUUCGGUGUGGGAUGAGCUCGCGGCCUAUCAGCUUGUUGGUGGGGUAAUGGCCUACCAAGGCGUCGACGGGUAGCCGGCCUGAGAGGGUGUACGGCCACAUUGGGACUGAGAUACGGCCCAGACUCCUACGGGAGGCAGCGGUGGGGAAUAUUGCACAAUGGGCGCAAGCCGGAUGCAGCGACGCCGCGUGGGGGAUGACGGCCUUCGGGUGGUAAACUCCUUUCGCUAGGGACGAAGCGCAAGUGACGGUACCGGGAGAAGAAGCACCGGCUAACUACGU